UGACAUCCUCGAGUCGCAUCGGGGAUCAAAGCCGGGGACCGCAAGGCCUGGCGCUUGGAGAUGAGCCCGCGUCCGAUUAGCUAGUUGGCGGGGUAAUGGCCCACCAAGGCUUCGAUCGGUAGCCGGCCUGAGAGGGCGGACGGCCACACUGGGACUGAGACACGGCCCAGACUCCUACGGGAGGCAGCAGUGGGGAAUUUUUCGCAAUGGGGGAAACCCUGACGAAGCAACGCCGCGUGGAGGAUGAAGGCCUUCGGGUCGUAAACUCCUGUCGACCGGGAAGAAUGCACCCGACCUAAUACGUCGAAGUGUUGACUGUACCGGUGGAGGAAGCCACGGCUAACUCUGUGCCAGCAGCCCGCGGUAAUACAGAGGUGGCAAGCGUUGUUCGGAAUUACUGGGCGUAAAGGGCGCGUAGGCGGCCCGCCAAGUCCCGUGUGAAAGCCCCCGGCUCAACCGGGGAACAGCGCGGGAAACUAGCAAGCUUCGAAUUCGGGAAG
Molecule: ribosomal RNA, 500 nt
Filed under: uncultured bacterium
Lineage: Bacteria
Description: bacterial SSU rRNA
Rfam family: Bacterial small subunit ribosomal RNA
Source: RNAcentral